CUGCCCUGCAGAUCGGGAUAACUCCGGGAAACCGGUGCUAAUACCGAAUAGUUUUUUGCCCCUCCUGGGGCGAAACGGAAAGACGGUUUCGGCUGUCACUGCAGGAUGGGCCCGCGGCGCAUUAGCUAGUUGGUGGGGUAAUGGCCCACCAAGGCGACGAUGCGUAGCCGACCUGAGAGGGUGAUCGGCCACACUGGGACUGAGACACGGCCCAGACUCCUACGGGAGGCAGCAGUAGGGAAUCUUCCGCAAUGGACGCAAGUCUGACGGAGCAACGCCGCGUGAGUGACGAAGGUUUUCGGAUCGUAAAACUCUGUUGUGAGGGAAGAACAAGUACCAAGUAACUACUGGUACCUUGACGGUACCUCACCAGAAAGCCACGGCUAACUACGUGCCAGCAGCCGCGGUAAUACGUAGGUGGCAAGCGUUGUCCGGAAUUANUUGGGCGUAAAGCGCGCGCAGGCGGUUCCCUUAAGUCUGAUGUGAAAGCCNACGGCUCAACCGUGGAGGGUCAUUGGGAAACUGGGGGGACUUG
RNAcentral lists this ribosomal RNA (535 nucleotides) under Planomicrobium sp. c5. RNAcentral's name for it is "bacterial SSU rRNA". It matches the Rfam family "Bacterial small subunit ribosomal RNA", at positions 126 to 644 of the family's 1533-position model. Lineage: Bacteria; Bacillati; Bacillota; Bacilli; Caryophanales; Caryophanaceae. The record is from RNAcentral.